This 1223-nucleotide long non-coding RNA is filed under the name Homo sapiens (human). RNAcentral describes it as "HSALNT0261235". Lineage: Eukaryota; Metazoa; Chordata; Mammalia; Primates; Hominidae. The record is from RNAcentral.
GAGCACAUAGGAGUCUCAGCCCCCCGCCCCAAAGCAAGGGGAAGUCACGCGCCUGUAGCGCCAGCGUGUUGUGAAAUGGGGGCUUGGGGGGGUUGGGGCCCUGGGGCUGAUUCUGGAAAUGCAGGGGUUCGUGGGCGGGAGGGUGGGGGCUGGGGUCCCUCUGGGAGGCUAGAGUUUUAUGGGAGCACUAACAGCCCUGUGAACUGAUGACCCUGGGGUCCUGGGGUGCCUCGGGAAAGUAAGAUUCUGGGGUUUCCGAGGGCAUGGAUUUUUCUGGAACCUUGAGUGGGGGGAGGGGCACCUCAAAGGUGCAGGGAGGACCUGUAGUUGCCUGAGGUUUGCGCUGCGAGAUAAGGAGUCUCCGGAUCCUUGGGAAGCUUGGAAGGCUGUGAGGUGUUAUUUCUGGACCCCUGGAGAUCUCUGGAAGAUGGAGUGUUGCGGGGACUGGAGUCCUGGGAUUUACAGGGGUGGGGGUUCACGAUGCAAACUCUCUAUAUUUUGGAGCCCUCCCCGGGGAAAUCUUUAGGUUCUUGAGGUGCUCUGCAAGUUGGAAAGGGCAGUUAUUCUGGAGCCGUGGGUUUCACCCAGUGCGGGAAGCCCAGGAGGAGCAUUGUAUGAGGUAGGGUGACUUCUGGAACCCUGGACAGCCCUCUGGAACCCUCCAAAGAUGGGCUGGGACUUUGGGGAUACCUUGGAGCUCUUUCAGGGGCCCAGGCUUUUUCUGGGAGUGGAAAUGGGGAGGAAUGAAAAGUCUGUUUUGAGCUUUGCGGUGUCUCUGGGAUUGCAUUUCCUGGAGGCUGUUUUGGAGACAACUCACAGACUUCGAGAAUUCUCCGUGGCCCUGAACAGUGUCUCUGAAGUUGCCCUCGUGUCUUGCCUGACGUGUGCUCCUUCAGGCCCACAAAGAGAAGCCCUGCGUUGUGGACAAACAGUCUGGGGACCUAUGGACGAGACGUCUGUCUUCGACUAAUGCAUAUUUUUUAAGUGGGCCUGGUCCACGUUGAUUUCUGGGAGACGGAGUCGGCGCAAACCUUGACUCUACUUAAGUGCCCUGAUGGAGGCAGCCCGUGCGCUGGGCAGGGAGCUGAAGCCACUGGGGUGUGGGGUGAGGUCAGGCCCUGCCCUACAGAGGAGCUGCUCCGAACAGCCCAGGCGGGGCAGCCCCUGACCGAGGGGAUCUGCAGAUGCCCCGCCAGGCCGGUAUCUGGGGUCCUUGUUGCAGG